This 577-nucleotide long non-coding RNA is filed under the name Olea europaea subsp. europaea. The record is from RNAcentral. Lineage: Eukaryota; Viridiplantae; Streptophyta; Magnoliopsida; Lamiales; Oleaceae.
UGAACCUACUGUUUCUAAGCUUCUUUUAACGAGUUUUACAUUUUCCAUUUUUUGCAUGAAAUCAGGUCGGUAUCCAAUUUUAACUGUUGAACCUAGUUUAGUCGGGUUCUUUUAACGUUCGUGGUGACUAACCAUCUUUUGCAGUUUCAUACACAGUUCUUGUACGAUGCACGAGUAGUGUUCUUGAGUUAUACUGAUUUCUUACAGUCACCGGCAGUUUGGGCCUUCAAUUGGGAUAGGAAAAAAAAUACUUUUCUAAAUUUUUGCGAGCUCUCAACCAUCCACUUAAAGAAGCACCUUUGUUGGAAAACAAUGGAGAGUAGAAGAAGAUGAAAAUGGAAAUUCCAAAUGGAAUGGAUUUGCAAGACUUGAACGUGCUGAUGGACGUUGUCUUCAAACGAUGUUGCAUCCUCUCCAAAUGCUAUUAAAGUUUCAAAUGGCAAAUAGUUUGUAGGAUUUAUCAAGCCUAAAAAAAGAAUACUAAAGCAGAAGUAAUUCUUUCAAAGUGAACUUAAAGAAAACUUGAAAAUGUUUGAUACAAUCUUUAGAUGAUUUGGGGUAAUGAUAUAGAUUUCAU